UACGUAGGGGGCAAGCGUUGUCCGGAUUUAUUGGGCGUAAAGAGCGCGCAGGCGGUCGUUCAAGUCGGAUGUGAAAGCCCCCGGCUCAACUGGGGAGGGUCAUUCGAUACUGAUCGACUCGAAGGCAGGAGAGGGAAGCGGAAUUCCCGGUGUAGUGGUGAAAUGCGUAGAUAUCGGGAGGAACACCAGUGGCGAAGGCGGCUUCCUGGCCUGUUCUUGACGCUGAGGCGCGAAAGCUAGGGGAGCAAACGGG
RNAcentral lists this ribosomal RNA (253 nucleotides) under uncultured bacterium. RNAcentral describes it as "partial 16S ribosomal RNA". It matches the Rfam family "Bacterial small subunit ribosomal RNA", at positions 524 to 776 of the family's 1533-position model. The record is from RNAcentral.